RNAcentral lists this ribosomal RNA (457 nucleotides) under Holconia nigrigularis. RNAcentral describes it as "partial 16S ribosomal RNA". It matches the Rfam family "Archaeal large subunit ribosomal RNA", at positions 1901 to 2675 of the family's 2987-position model. Lineage: Eukaryota; Metazoa; Arthropoda; Arachnida; Araneae; Sparassidae. The record is from RNAcentral.
AAAAACAUAAUUAAUAGUUAUUAUUAUUAAUAUAUCCUGCUCAAUGAAUAUUAAAUAGCCGCAGUUCAUACUGUGCUAAGGUAGCAUAAUCAUUUGUCUUUUAAUUAAAGACUAGAAUGAAAGGAUAAACAUUUAAUUCCUUUUUAUAAAUUCAUUAAUUAAAUUUAUUUUAAAUGUAAAAAAACAUUUAUAUUCAAGAGAGACGAAAAGACCCUAUUGAACUUAACUUAAGUUAAACUGGGGCAGUUAAUCAAAAAAUAUUUUAAUAAUUUAUCUUCUUUAAAUGACCCGGUCAAACCGAUUAUAUGAUCAAGUUACCAUAGGGAUAACAGCGCAAUAUUUUUCUAUAGAUCUUAUAUAAAAAAAAGAUUACGACCUCGAUGUUGAAUUAAUUUUUCUUAUAAAUGCAACAAUUUAAAAAGAGAGUCUGUUCGACUUUUAAAUAAUUACAUGAUCU